Molecule: ribosomal RNA, 670 nt
Filed under: Brevundimonas sp. DB2
Lineage: Bacteria; Pseudomonadati; Pseudomonadota; Alphaproteobacteria; Caulobacterales; Caulobacteraceae
Description: bacterial SSU rRNA
Rfam family: Bacterial small subunit ribosomal RNA
Source: RNAcentral
CAGGCCUAACACAUGCAAGUCGAACGGACCCUUCGGGGUUAGUGGCGGACGGGUGAGUAACACGUGGGAACGUGCCUUUAGGUUCGGAAUAGCUCCUGGAAACGGGUGGUAAUGCCGAAUGUGCCCUUCGGGGGAAAGAUUUAUCGCCUUUAGAGCGGCCCGCGUCUGAUUAGCUAGUUGGUGAGGUAACNGGCUCACCAAGGCGACGAUCAGUAGCUGGUCUGAGAGGAUGACCAGCCACACUGGGACUGAGACACGGCCCAGACUCCUACGGGAGGCAGCAGUGGGGAAUCUUGCGCAAUGGGCGAAAGCCUGACGCAGCCAUGCCGCGUGAAUGAUGAAGGUCUUAGGAUUGUAAAAUUCUUUCACCGGGGACGAUAAUGACGGUACCCGGAGAAGAAGCCCCGGCUAACUUCGUGCCAGCAGCCGCGGUAAUACGAAGGGGGCUAGCGUUGCUCGGAAUUACUGGGCGUAAAGGGCGCGUAGGCGGAUCGUUAAGUCAGAGGUGAAAUCCCAGGGCUCAACCCUGGAACUGCCUUUGAUACUGGCGAUCUUGAGUAUGAGAGAGGUAUGUGGAACUCCGAGUGUAGAGGUGAAAUUCGUAGAUAUUCGGAAGAACACCAGUGGCGAAGGCGACAUACUGGCUCAUUACUGACGCUGAGGCGCGAAA